AUAGAACGCUGGCGGCAUGCCUUACACAUGCAAGUCGAACGGCAGCACGGGUGCUUGCACCUGGUGGCGAGUGGCGAACGGGUGAGUAAUACAUCGGAACGUACCUUAUCGUGGGGGAUAACGCAGCGAAAGCUGUGCUAAUACCGCAUACGCCCUGAGGGGGAAAGCGGGGGAUCGAAAGACCUCGCGCGAUUGGAGCGGCCGAUGCCUGAUUAGCUUGUUGGUGGGGUAAAAGCCCACCAAGGCGACGAUCAGUAGCUGGUCUGAGAGGACGAUCAGCCACACUGGGACUGAGACACGGGCCAGACUCCGACGGGAGGCAGCAGUGGGGAAUUUUGGACAAUGGGGGCAACCCUGAUCCAGCAAUGCCGCGUGAGUGAAGAAGGCCGUCGGGUUGUAAAGCUCUUUUGUCAGGGAAGAAACACCGGCUCUAACACAGUCCGGGAAUGACGGUACCUGAAGAAUAAGCACCGGCUAACUACGUGCCAGCCGCCGCUGUAA
This 501-nucleotide ribosomal RNA is filed under the name uncultured bacterium. RNAcentral's name for it is "partial 16S ribosomal RNA". It matches the Rfam family "Bacterial small subunit ribosomal RNA", at positions 31 to 523 of the family's 1533-position model. The record is from RNAcentral.